AUCAUAGGCAAGGGGGAGGCCAGGAGUUGGGAAAAAACGGUUUUGAGUCAGAGUCUGAAUGAUGAGGCAUGGGGCACGGGGCUGGUAUCACAGGGCCCAGUGCUCAGAAGGGUCCUGUGCUUGGCUUGACAGUGCUUCCAUUCUGGAAGUCUUCAUCAUUUUAUCUUCGAGCCUGUGUUUUGCAAGUAAGGCCCGAUGGGAUGAGGAAGCAUGAAUGUGAGCAGAGGAGAUGUACAUAAGGUGCACGUCCAUUGUCUCCUGCAGUCCCAUUUGAGCACAGUGUUUGUGAUGUCCAUGGGCACAGAGGUUCAGUGGACCCAGACACGUGGAAGCUUAGCAAGACUGAGAGUGAGCACAGGGUGAGCACUGCUGGCCCCAAGGGACCGUGCUUUCUGCUCAAAUCAGAACUUUCAAUGCAGACAAAGGGCAGUUGCACUGUAAGAAACAUGACUACCAAGGAACCUUACCAUGUCCUUUUAUUUGUCAAACCACCUACAAUGAAAACAGAUCAUUGAAGCAAAGAGACAGAUAAGACGACCCAGAGUGCAUGUCUUUUCUGUCCUAACUUAGUCAUCCUCAGGGUGGAGAAUUUGGUAGAAUAUGAGCAUAUCAACAAGCGAAAUGAAAACAAUUUUUAUUUUUAUUUUUACUUUUUUGUGAAGCAUUUCCAUUGUUUUGGUUGAGAAUGAAAUCUACAUAUACACAGAUGCAAAUACAAGCCUAGGAAACAAAAAUUGUGUAAUUUCAGUGAUUCUGCUUCAGAGCUAAACGCACUUAUAUUUGCAUUUAAAACUGGCAUUGCAUGAUAUAAAGAUGAGCAGUAAAAAUACUAAUAAUUUAAAAUUUUAAUUUUUUUAAAAUUUGGAGCAACUUUAAAUAGCAACCGAAAACUGCCAUGACAAAUUGAGAGAUUGCAGAAGGAAGCUUUAUAUUUUAGGAACUUUAAUGGCAUUUUUCCUGCUUUUGGAACAAGGGGGCUCACAUUUUCAUCUUGCACUGGGCCCCACAAUUCAUGAAGCUGGCCAUGGUAGGGUGCCUCGCUUCUUUUCCUGAAGGCCAGCAGCUGGGUUUAUGCCCCAGUGAGGGAGAUGGGUGGGGUUCUACUCUGGAGACACUGAACAGCUGCAGAAAAACAAAAACGAAAACAAACGAAAACAAAAACAAAAAACCCAACUUCCAUUAACUUAGGAGUUCACCAAUAAUCACUGGACUUCCCCCCCACCGCCUGCCCCACUCACACUAGAGAAACACCUACAAGGGCCCGGGCCCUCCCAUGCAUACUGGAUUUCCCAUCUGUUUUAGGGCUUUGCUCUAUGAACAGACAGCCAAAGACCUGCAAAUAUCAGAGGAAAGCUUCCAACUGGCCAAAGAGCAGCCAGAUAAACAUCAGAUCCCCCCCGGGCGGGGUGGUGGGGGAAGAGGGCAUGAGGAGACUAUCUGAUAUGAUAAUGCAUUGGGGGAAAAAAAAACAAAAAAAACUCCUGAGAUUCCUGUAAAUCAAGCAUUUGAAACGGUAUCGAUGACUGAUAUAUAGAAAACCAUGAAGUCUCAAAAAGUGUGACAAAAAUUGAUGGCACGAGAGAAAGAAGGACAUCAGAAAGCACUACAUACAUGGCCUUUCUCUUAUAAUGUGACCACUCUGCGGUGGGUUAAAUAAAAUUCUUCUAUGACUUUACUUGGAGGGUCUAGUGAGGACAAGUAGAAAAGAGUGCAGGAAGCCACUGCUCAUCUAGCAGCAGCAGAAGUCAGGGUAAUUACCGAGGAUUAUGGGGAUACCCUCCAGAGGAAACAGGCAAGGAGGUUGGAAGCGAUGCCUCCCGGGAGCACGGCCGAGCAGCGAGAGGCUGAGAGAGUAAGCGGGGCUGGUGGUUUUUCUUCAAACAUCCUUUACUUCCCUUUAAUUUUUAAACUCUGCACCUGCAUUGCAUGGACGGAUCUUCGCGGUAAAGGAAAAGAAAUCCCAUAAAAUGAAAAGAAAAGGAUGUCGGUCGCCUUCCAGAGUUUCCAGGGAGGCUGGAGAGAGGUAUGGUUGGGAGCGGGGCAGGGACCAGAGAAGCGUCGUGGGGAGGACGCGGCGGCUACCUCUGCCGGGCAGCGCGGGCCCCGGCCGGCACCGCCUUCCCCGCAGUGGCGUCCGGGGACCUACCGGGGAGCACGUGCUCUCCGCCCUCCCUGCGUCCUUUUGUGGUGGCCCCCGGGUCCCGUGUCUUGGGUGGUGGGGUCUGAUUGGCUGACGAGGUCACGAGUCCACGAACGGCAGCCAGUUUGGUGGGGGUAGCAGACAAGAGGCCUUUCUGUAGAGGGGAUGAACUCUGCUUCCGGGAAAGGUUCGUAUGGCAGAAGGUGUCUAAUUUCCGGGAAGGAGAUUCGGAUGUUGGGCCGCUGAACGGAAGAAUAUCAGAGGCAUAUUAUGGUCACUUUCUGAUGAAAGUACAGACCACUAUGUCAGAGCAAAACGUCGCAUCCUCUCUUGCUCAAGAGAGCAGAAUUAGGAUUUGGAAGAACUUUCUAAGAAUCCGUCUGUGCCAACAAGACUAUCUCAGCUACAGGAGAGCUGGCUGGAAGUAAUGAGCGUCGCAGUCAGGGACGGUUGGCUGAACUCACUAUAUUUUCUCCCUAGAACUGACUUCCCAGCAAUCCUACUGAAGUCACAGAAUACUGCAUGUGCAAAGCCAAAUUAAAACACAGAAGUCAUCUUCGUUUAUUUGGUCCUUGUUGGGGUCGUGUCUGUUUGAAAAUUUAAGAAGCAGAUGAUGUCUGAGAAUAUUCCUGAAGCUCAGAUUCCAAGGACCAGCAGAAUUGACCAGAAGGAACCUCAGAAAGGAAACAGGAGGGGAGAGCUGGAGAAAGCUGGACGGCAGCUGUGUUGACUGGAGGAACCUCGAGGAGCUGAGAGAAGGAGAGGAUCGCCACAGGCAAAUGCUGGCCAACGCCACGUCCGACUCCCAGCCUUUCCCAAGUGGCCCGUCGGCUCCCGGUGCUCCACUCACAGCCCACAGAGGCCCGCAAGUGUCCGGGGGUCCCCUGGGCCACCAGCCCCCCAGGGAAGAGGAGGGUCACGUGCUGAGGGCUCAGGGAUCGAGGCUCCCCUGCGGGUGUGGCUCGGCCCACGGCAGCCGGAUCCUGGUCACCCACAGCCUCAGCGCAUCUGCAAGUGUUUUCUGUCUUCACAGUCGUUUUCACUGAUCUCUUCUUGGUUUAGUUGCUGUCAUUUAAUUGCCGCUACGGUCGUUCUUAUUCAAGUAGAUAUAAUUUUGGGAUAGUGUUUUUCAAAUAAAGAUUCAUUUGAUAUAA
Molecule: long non-coding RNA, 3294 nt
Organism: Felis catus (domestic cat)
Lineage: Eukaryota; Metazoa; Chordata; Mammalia; Carnivora; Felidae
Exons: 6
Source: RefSeq, a predicted model, not a curated record